GACGAACCGUGCAAACGUUAUUCGGAUUCACUGGGCUUAAAGGGCGCGUAGGCGGGCCAUCAAGUCCGGGGUGAAAUACUUCGGCUCAACCGGAGAACAGCCUUGGAUACUGAUGGUCUCGAGGGAGAUAGGGGUGCGCGGAACUUCCGGUGGAGCGGUGAAAUGCGUAGAUAUCGGAAGGAACGCCGGUGGCGAAAGCGGCGCACUGGAUCUUUUCUGACGCUGAGGCGCGAAAGCUAGGGGAGCGAACGGG
Molecule: ribosomal RNA, 253 nt
Filed under: uncultured bacterium
Lineage: Bacteria
Also listed under: 1 other name
Description: partial 16S ribosomal RNA
Rfam family: Bacterial small subunit ribosomal RNA
Source: RNAcentral